AGUGAACGCUGGCGGUAGGCCUAACACAUGCAAGUCGAACGGCAGCACAGUAAGAGCUUGCUCUUACGGGCGGUGAGUGGAGGACGGGCGAGGAAUACAUCGGAAUGUACUUUUUCGUGGGGGCUCAAGUAGGGAAACUUACGCUAAUACCGCAUAUGCCCUACGGGUGAAUGCAGGCGCAUUUCGGACCUUGCGCGAUUGUAUGAGCCGAUGUUGGACUAGCUAGUUGGCGGCGUAAAGGCCAACUAAGGCGACGAUCCGUAGCUGGUCUGAGAAGGUGAUCAGCCACAGUGGAACUGAGACACGGUCCAGACACCUACGGAAGGCGACAGUGGGGAAUAUUGGACGAUGGGCAGAAGCCUGAUCCAGCCAAACCGCGUGGAUAAAGAAAGCCUUCGGGUUGUAGAGCCCUUUUGGUGGGAAAGAAAAUCAGCAGGUUAAUACCCCGCUGUUCUGACGGUACCCAAAGGAUAAAAACCGGCUAACUUCGUG
Molecule: ribosomal RNA, 492 nt
Filed under: uncultured bacterium
Lineage: Bacteria
Description: partial 16S ribosomal RNA
Rfam family: Bacterial small subunit ribosomal RNA
Source: RNAcentral